CUGCUCUGCUCUGCCCCAUCUGUGUCUGCCCCCACAGCUCCAGAGAUCCCUUAUCCCCCUUUUCAAUCCAGGGGACAGUGCAGGUUUCCCGGGAUGCUGGAGCUGCAGAAGUGUUGCACUGCGGGAGCAGGAUCGCAGAGAGCCACUGGCUCCUGCUCCUCUUCCAGGACAGCACUGCAGGGAUGCUUCUCCUGGCACAGAGCUGAGUCCAGCGAUGUUUCCCAGCAGACAGAGCCAUAUCCCUCACCAUGGCCCUCUCCUUUCCCCUCGGAGCCAUCCCUCUGAUCACCCUCUCUUCCCUGGAAACCUCCAUCUGCUCCCACCGGCCGCCUCCUCUGGAGUGCAGCGAGGCAAGGAGUUAAUGGAGUGUGUAAACAUCGGCUGCCGUGUCAAUAAAUUACCCUUUGCUAUUUCGGGCUGUUUCUCACGCUGACCUUUUGUUCCCUGCACUCACCCAUUAAUUUUUAAACCUUCUCCUCUCCCCUGGAAUGCUCACUUCACCUCCUGCCCGAUGGCAGGGACUCUUGGAGCACUACAUGACCCCGUUCCUGCUGGGGACAGGGACACUGUGACUGACUGAGGUGGCCCCACUGGUGGCACUGCCCUCCAGCGUGGCUGCAGCCACAGCUGGGAACCUCCAGCUCCUUUCCCCACAGUGGUGACACAACUUGUGUCCCUGGGACUGGGGCUAUGGCAUGAGCUUAAAAUCCCCUUUUCCCCCAUUAACUCCAUCCAGAAGUUGUUGGCACUGGUGGCAACAUUUUCCAACCCCACACUGCCUUGUGGGGGUGCUUUGGAAGCACCUGAGGGUAGAGGAGGAGCUGGUGGGUUCAGAGCUCCAGGAACAAGCCCAGGCCGUGCUGGAGGGGCUGAUGGCCACUCCCAGGAGGGGACAAGCUCUGCCUGGCUUGAGCAGUGGGUGCAUCAGGGCUCUGGCUCUCCAGGUUUUCACCUGAAUGCUCUGCUGUUGUGUCUGACAGGCACGGGACUGGAUCCCAGUGCUCCAGGAUCCCAGCACUCCAGGAUCCAUCCCAGUGCUCCAGGAUCCAUCCCAGUGCUCCAGGAUCCAUCCCAGCACUCCAGGAUCCCAGUGCUCCAGGAUCCCAGCACUCCAGGAUCCCAGUGCUCCAGGAUCCCAGCACUCCAGGAUCCAUCCCAGCACUCCAGGAUGCCAGUGCUCCAGGAUCCCAGUGCUCCAGGAUCCCAGUGCUCCAGGAUCCCAGUGCUCCAGGAUCCAUCCCAGUGCUCCAGGAUCCCAGCUGGACGUGGCUGUGGGCACUGCCAGAGCCACGCUCCUUGGAGCAGGAUGCCAUCUCUCUUGUGUACAUUGUCACCAAACUUUAAAGCACAUUUUAUCCUGGACCUGCUCAGCCACGAGGGCACAAUCCCUCAUUCAGCAAGCAAACCCUGAUGCGGAGGGAGAAGCAUCCCCCAAAAAAGCGAUGCAGAACUGGAACCCCACAAAAUUUAACAGCAAAA
Cyanistes caeruleus (blue tit) is the source of this 1479-nucleotide non-coding RNA. NCBI's taxonomy places the organism in Eukaryota, Metazoa, Chordata, Aves, Passeriformes, Paridae. The record is from RefSeq and is a predicted model, not a curated record.